GAUGAACGCUGGCGGCGUGCCUAAUACAUGCAAGUCGAGCGAACGGACGAGAAGCUUGCUUCUCUGAUGUUAGCGGCGGACGGGUGAGUAACACGUGGAUAACCUACCUAUAAGACUGGGAUAACUUCGGGAAACCGGAGCUAAUACCGGAUAAUAUUUUGAACCGCAUGGUUCAAAAGUGAAAGACGGUCUUGCUGUCACUUAUAGGUGGAUCCGCGCUGCAUUAGCUAGUUGGUAAGGUAACGGCUUACCAAGGCAACGAUGCAUAGCCGACCUGAGAGGGUGAUCGGCCACACUGGAACUGAGACACGGUCCAGACUCCUACGGGAGGCAGCAGUAGGGAAUCUUCCGCAAUGGGCGAAAGCCUGACGGAGCAACGCCGCGUGAGUGAUGAAGGUCUUCGGAUCGUAAAACUCUGUUAUUAGGGAAGAACAUAUGUGUAAGUAACUGUGCACAUCUUGACGGUACCUAAUCAGAAAGCCACGGCUAACUACGUGCCAGCAGCCGCGGUAAUACGUAGGUGGCAAGCGUUAUCCGGAAUUAUUGGGCGUAAAGCGCGCGUAGGCGGUUUUUUAAGUCUGAUGUGAAAGCCCACGGCUCAACCGUGGAGGGUCAUUGGAAACUGGAAAACUUGAGUGCAGAAGAGGAAAGUGGAAUUCCAUGUGUAGCGGUGAAAUGCGCAGAGAUAUGGAGGAACACCAGUGGCGAAGGCGACUUUCUGGUCUGUAACUGACGCUGAUGUGCGAAAGCGUGGGGAUCAAACAGGAUUAGAUACCCUGGUAGUCCACGCCGUAAACGAUGAGUGCUAAGUGUUAGGGGGUUUCCGCCCCUUAGUGCUGCAGCUAACGCAUUAAGCACUCCGCCUGGGGAGUACGACCGCAAGGUUGAAACUCAAAGGAAUUGACGGGGACCCGCACAAGCGGUGGAGCAUGUGGUUUAAUUCGAAGCAACGCGAAGAACCUUACCAAAUCUUGACAUCCUUUGACAACUCUAGAGAUAGAGCCUUCCCCUUCGGGGGACAAAGUGACAGGUGGUGCAUGGUUGUCGUCAGCUCGUGUCGUGAGAUGUUGGGUUAAGUCCCGCAACGAGCGCAACCCUUAAGCUUAGUUGCCAUCAUUAAGUUGGGCACUCUAAGUUGACUGCCGGUGACAAACCGGAGGAAGGUGGGGAUGACGUCAAAUCAUCAUGCCCCUUAUGAUUUGGGCUACACACGUGCUACAAUGGACAAUACAAAGGGCAGCGAAACCGCGAGGUCAAGCAAAUCCCAUAAAGUUGUUCUCAGUUCGGAUUGUAGUCUGCAACUCGACUACAUGAAGCUGGAAUCGCUAGUAAUCGUAGAUCAGCAUGCUACGGUGAAUACGUUCCCGGGUCU
RNAcentral lists this ribosomal RNA (1372 nucleotides) under uncultured bacterium. RNAcentral's name for it is "bacterial SSU rRNA". It matches the Rfam family "Bacterial small subunit ribosomal RNA", at positions 28 to 1381 of the family's 1533-position model. The record is from RNAcentral.